GAUGAACGCUGGCGGCGUGCCUAACACAUGCAAGUCGAGCGAGAAGUUUGAAAAAUGAGUUUUCGAACAAGUGAUUCAAACGGAAAGCGGCGGACGGGUGAGUAACGCGUAGGCAACCUGCCCCGUGCAGAGGGACAGCCUCGGGAAACCGGGAUUAAGACCUCAUGAUAUCGGGUUAUCACAUGGUAAUCCGGUCAAAGAUUUAUCGGCAUGGGAUGGGCCUGCGUCUGAUUAGCUGGUUGGUGGGGUAACGGCCUACCAAGGCGACGAUCAGUAGCAGAACUGAGAGGUUCAUCUGCCACAUUGGAACUGAGACACGGUCCAAACUCCUACGGGAGGCAGCAGUGAGGAAUAUUGCACAAUGGGCGAAAGCCUGAUGCAGCAACGCCGCGUGAGCGAAGAAGGCCUUUGGGUCGUAAAGCUCUGUUCCUGGGGUAAGAAACGAAAUAGACGGUACCCUUGGAGGAAGCCCCGGCGUAACUACGUGCCAGCAGCCGCGGUAAAACGUAC
RNAcentral lists this ribosomal RNA (510 nucleotides) under uncultured bacterium. RNAcentral's name for it is "bacterial SSU rRNA". It matches the Rfam family "Bacterial small subunit ribosomal RNA", at positions 28 to 530 of the family's 1533-position model. The record is from RNAcentral.